This is a long non-coding RNA of Gigantopelta aegis, 2299 nucleotides long. RefSeq lists it as uncharacterized. The record is from RefSeq and is a predicted model, not a curated record. Lineage: Eukaryota; Metazoa; Mollusca; Gastropoda; Neomphalida; Peltospiridae. The transcript is spliced from 4 exons.
ACCAUUCCUUUCUUUUACAGGUCCAGGUUAUUGAAGAAGCUGUCCGGUAUAUCGAUGAACUGCAUAAAACGUUACUAGAACGACUUCGAGAAAAACAUGGUUGUCAGGCGGUGGGUAUCGCCGAGGAGACGGUGAAGAACUUCGUGUACCAGAUGAUGCCACAGUCUAUGCAUCUUCAGUCCCAGCCGACGGUGAACUUCGAGAAGCAGCAGAAGAGAGCCAGCUUCCUGGCCAAGAGGAGGAGAAGAGACAACUAGCCUUACAGAUCAUCUCAUGUGUAAAUAUUCAUCCUCGUCUGUGAUAUCGAGUUAUGGUGCUCUUUACGGAGGCUACACAUCAUUACAGAGACUACCUAGCAACACCACUCUAUCUAAACCGACUUACUCCUAACCCCACCGUCCAUCUACGUAAACACUGCCGCACGCUUUGGACCAGUCUAGCCCUGACGCUCAACAGUGAACCGGGUACUGGCACGGAACCAACUUCCUGUUAAAAUUCCGGUCUACAUGCUGAAGAAUGCAAACGUCAUAUAAGGAGGUUCAAAAUGAAUGACACCAUUGACAGACAGACGGACGGACAGCUAGAUGCGAGGCAGUUAAUCAAUAUCAUGGAUUAAUAUAUUUCGUAUUCAGAUCAAUUUAGGCUAGCAGCCAGUUUUGCUUAUUUACUAAUUUCUAUAUUAGUACCAAUAUUACUAUAACCAGCUGUCAUUUUUGGUAUUUUUAUAUUCUAUAGUAAUAAUCAUUUUUUUUUAGAAAUUCACAUUUCACUCCAAAAUCAUUUCUUUCUUUAAAAUGUACAAAUGGUGGCAUCUAUUUCCGUUUGAUUCUUGAACUAGCUCAAUAUGAUAUUUCAACCAAAAAAAAAUGACAAAUUAAAAAAAAAAAAACCAGAAUAAAAAAACUGAACACCAAAAAGAAUGGCUAAUACAAUUUUCAGAUGUAAUAUUAAAUUUAGUUUUUAAAUGCAAUUCAAUAAACCGUUUAUCAUUUCACAGAAUUAAGCAUUUGUCAUCAAAUAAACCUACUAUAGUCCGUCCCAUCAUUCUAUAAAACUGUUUUUUGUAAACAAUUUCAGUUUGGUUUGAUAUAAGAAGAAAAGUAAAAGUGUUUUGGAAAUAACAAAAAAUUACUAUUUUUGUAUGCGAACAUACAAAUCAGUCGCCUCAGAAAUAAAUAAUUUGUAAUAAAUUCUAUAGCAUGAAAAAGAGCGUUUACUGUGGGACGGACUAUAGUAUUCUAAUAAUAAACUGACCAUAAACCCUGAUUUUGCUAUUCUUUUGGUGUUCAUUCUAUAAUAAUUACAUGUACAUGUCACUGACUGUUUCAUGGUGGGGGAGUCAUUACUAUCUUUCAUAAAAUCAUAUCUGAGCAUGGAAAAUGAUACAUAUUAUAAAAGUUUCCUUUUUCAUGUUUGUAUUUUUUGCACAUUCCACUUUUUAUCUUAUCUUUGGAAGUUACAUCUUCGGUCGGUUACUAUUAAUAUUAAUACUGUUCAUCUGUAGCUAUAACACGUACCCUUAAUUGGCUGUACAGACCACGUUGUUGCUUACUUAUAAAUAUUUCUAAUGAAAUAUACACUUUUCAGACCAAUACGAAAUCCGUAAGAAGUUUGGGCUGCAUAAAACUCCCAUUAGAUAAUCUCUGAAUAUUAACUGAUCUUGCUUGGUCCUGUUUGAUAAAGGAAAGUUGGAAGCAUAUUUUUUUAUUAACAUCCAUCUCCAAUAAAAUAAAUUACCUUUGAAAAAACAACAACAUGUCUUUAUAAUAUUUGCGAUGCAUUCACCAAUGUCACCAUGAAUAUAUUAAUUCGAGUCUGUCACCUCUUCCUAUACCAUUUAUUAACGAAAUUAAAUUAUCCUUUAAUGGCAUUCAAAGCUAAACCUCUGUUCGUCUUUGAGAGUUACGUCCCUUGAAAAAUGAACUCCUUUGAAAAAAAAAAAAAAUCUGACAAGGUAAAAUGCAUUUCGUAUAAGGUUAGUGGGUUUGUCGGACAUUCGCGUUGAUAUACAUGUUUGUGUUCUUUAAUUUUUUUUAGGAAAGAUCAAAGUUCAUGUUCAUAUUUGGGUGGAGAUGACUAUGUUAGUCAAGAUAAAGUGCAGUACAAUUCCACAUCCUGUUUCAGUAUAUUCCUCUCAUACGAUACGAUUAUUAUUUCACACAGUGUUCAUUUGUCUAUUGUUAUGUUGUUAUACUCUGUACCUUGCUUUGUGUAUAGUAGUGUUAUUCCAUCAUCAUUUUUUUGUUGUUUUAUAUUGUAUUGAAUUUAUUUGAAUUAAAUUGUUGCUUAUAAACUGUUA